This 269-nucleotide long non-coding RNA is filed under the name Mustela putorius furo (domestic ferret). Its description in RNAcentral is "lncRNA (ENSMPUG00000026834.1)". The record is from RNAcentral. Lineage: Eukaryota; Metazoa; Chordata; Mammalia; Carnivora; Mustelidae.
GCCCUAGCUCUUGGCUGCAUGCUAUGGACUCUUCUAGUCAACUCAGCAGUCCUUGAGAGCUCUCCUGGGGACAUCCUGGAGCACUUCAGAGCUGAAAGAGCAGAACCACAUUCCCAGGGAGGGUGGUGUGGCCAAGGAAGGAGGAGAGGCAGCAGUAUUUCUCCAAGAAAUUGGUAAGAAGCACAGAGGUGAGCAAAACCAUCUCAGUGGGAUCCAUCCAAAGGUAAGACACUAGCCAGCCCCAGAAAAUUUGGCCAUACUAGAGAGAU